GAAAUAUCGCUGGUCUGGUCGUGCUAACUUCAUGCAAUGUUCGAUGCUGAACGAGAAUAAGAAGCUUGCUUAUCUCGUCAGGUCUAGCUGGCAGUGACAGAGGAUGAGUAACACGUGGUGUAACCUGCCUGUAAGACCAGGGAUAACUCCGGGAAACCGGUGCUAAUACCGGAUAGAUUAUCUUUCCGCCUGGAGAGAUAAGGAAAGAUGGCUAUUUGCCAUCACUUACAGAUGGGCCCGCGGCGCAUUAGCUAGUUGGUGAGGUAACGGCUCACCAAGGCGACGAUGCGUAGCCGACCUGAGAGGGUGAUCGGCCACACUGGGACUGAGACACGGCCCAGACUCCUACGGGAGGCAGCAGUAGGGAAUCUUCCGCAAUGGACGAAAGUCUGACGGAGCAACGCCGCGUGAGCGAAGAAGGUCUUCGGAUCGUAAAGCUCUGUUGUUAGGGAAGAACAAGUAUCGGAGGAAAUGCCGGUACCUUGACGGUACCUGACGAGAAAGCCACGGCUAACUACGUGCCAGCAGCCGCGGUAAUACGUAGGUGGCAAGCGUUGUCCGGAAUUAUUGGGCGUAAAGCGCGCGCAGGCGGUCCUUUAAGUCUGAUGUGAAAUCUUGCGGCUCAACCGCAAGCGGUCAUUGGAAACUGGGGGACUUGAGUGCAGAAGAGGAAAGCGGAAUUCCACGUGUAGCGGUGAAAUGCGUAGAGCAUGUGGAGGAACACCAGUGGCGAAGGCGGCUUUCUGGUCUGUAACUGACGCUGAGGCGCGAAAGCGUGGGGAGCAAACA
Molecule: ribosomal RNA, 789 nt
Filed under: Niallia circulans
Lineage: Bacteria; Bacillati; Bacillota; Bacilli; Caryophanales; Bacillaceae
Description: bacterial SSU rRNA
Rfam family: Bacterial small subunit ribosomal RNA
Source: RNAcentral